RNAcentral lists this non-coding RNA (24 nucleotides) under Cricetulus griseus (Chinese hamster). The record is from RNAcentral. Lineage: Eukaryota; Metazoa; Chordata; Mammalia; Rodentia; Cricetidae.
GAAGGGCACUGGUAACUCUUAGCC